Molecule: long non-coding RNA, 859 nt
Organism: Mya arenaria
Lineage: Eukaryota; Metazoa; Mollusca; Bivalvia; Myida; Myidae
Exons: 3
Source: RefSeq, a predicted model, not a curated record
AAUAAAUAACUUCCUUGAUCAGAUUGGUACGGGAGGUGUUUGUUAGAGAGAGGUGAAUGAACGUGCCUUCUGUUACUGCCGUUCUUAGUUCAUGGUGAGGACAAAGAUGAGGAGUUUAAACUGUUUCUGCUGUUGCAAAAACAAAGAAGAAUCAUCCGAACAACAGUGCAUUACGUCUAAUGUGUCUGAUAAGGAGACGGAAGACGAUGAUCAGCAUUCAUUGGUACAACCGAAACUUUGAAAAGGCUGAAAGAUAACAGAAAGAAAUCCUCGAUGAUACCCAAGGAUCAGAUAAGGGCUAUAUUGGACGGUCGUUUUGCCGAGAAUAAACAAGCAAUCAAAAUAGCAGAGACGUUUAUCAACGAAAGUGUUGAGCUUUGCUGGCUAAUGGCUGUACAAGACCCACCAGUUUAUGUGGACAGUAAUGUCAACAAGUGCCUGUGUUGUUUCUCAUAACAGACGGUCCUUUGUUAUCGAAAGGCAUAGCACAGGGAUUGGUUGAAGAAAGACAAAGUGAAGAGAGCCCAACAAUGAAAGAAGAUUGUGGUAAAGAAACUCCUUCUGAGAGCACAAAACUUUAGAGCCAAGGUGUUUGGAUUCAUUUUCUACUAGAAAUGAAAUUACAUUAAAUAUCACCGUACUAAGGCGGUACCUAACAAUCCUUAAUAAACUUACCUAGUUAUUUAUAUAGUAUAUAUGAACUGUGUUAUUUGUGAAGUUUUGCGCUGUUGAUCCAUGAUUCUUGUUUGUUUUUGCGUCUAUGUCUUUGGCGUUUACCCUGUGCCAUUAAACGGGGUUUAUCUAUAAACGUUUGGCUACUGAAUUUGUUUUGUAGUUUUCCAUAUAAAUAUUAUCUUAU